GAUAAAGAGGAGGAAAAAUCUGGGAAAAGGAGAUGGAGGAGCAAAAAAAGGAGGAGGACUUUUCUUGUCCAGCAAGCCACGAAGUAAGAAGUAAAGAAAGAUAUGCAGAAUUAGAGAAAGGUCCCUUCAACAUGAAAAGCAAAGGCAGAAUGCAGGAUGAAGGGCUGACAUGAUGCUCUUCCGCGUCCUUCCCAUCUCAACUGUAGCUCGUACUAAGGAAGGAUGCAUGCAUGGUGCAGGGAGAAGCUCUCCUAUGAGAGACCUGGAGGAACACUAACACAUGUGGACAGGUAUUUUGUCUACAUGUGAGUGCUGAGGAUUGAACUCAGAUCCUCUGGAGGAGUGGUUAGCGCUCUUAACCACUGAGCCAUCUCGCUAGCCCAUGCGGAAUAAACUUUAAUUUCCUGAAA
Molecule: non-coding RNA, 410 nt
Organism: Myodes glareolus (Bank vole)
Lineage: Eukaryota; Metazoa; Chordata; Mammalia; Rodentia; Cricetidae
Source: RefSeq, a predicted model, not a curated record